CAACUUGAGAGUUUGAUCCUGGCUCAGAACGAACGCUGGCGGCAGGCCUAACACAUGCAAGUCGAACGCUCGUAGCAAUACGGGAGUGGCAGACGGGUGAGUAACACGUGGGAAUAUACCCUUCGGUACGGAAUAACUCAGGGAAACUUGUGCUAAUACCGUAUACGUCCUGGCGGAGAAAGAUUUAUCGCCGAAGGAUUAGCCCGCGUCUGAUUAGCUAGUUGGUGAGG
Molecule: ribosomal RNA, 230 nt
Filed under: Hyphomicrobiales bacterium
Lineage: Bacteria; Pseudomonadati; Pseudomonadota; Alphaproteobacteria; Hyphomicrobiales
Description: partial 16S ribosomal RNA
Rfam family: Bacterial small subunit ribosomal RNA
Source: RNAcentral